This is a long non-coding RNA of Trichomycterus rosablanca, 592 nucleotides long. RefSeq lists it as uncharacterized. NCBI's taxonomy places the organism in Eukaryota, Metazoa, Chordata, Actinopteri, Siluriformes, Trichomycteridae. The transcript has 2 exons. The record is from RefSeq and is a predicted model, not a curated record.
AGGUCGAGGUAUUGAGGUUUUUAUUUCUCUUUAUAGGGAAAGACGGUGCGAUCGGUGCAGCCCGCGAGCUGCGGUUUGUUUUUAGCGUUGCUAGGCGCCCGGCUAACGUGAGUAGCAUCGGGCUUAUGCUAGACGCUUCGCUGCAACUACCUCAGCCCCUUAAGGCAUUAAGCGGAUUCUGGUUUCAGCUGUGCCAGUUUGGCUCAGCGGUUUGAACGCCGUGUUAGCAUCGGCACAACUCCGGUUCGAAUCCACGCCUCACCUCUUUUCUCUCUUUUAGUUAGAUCGGCUCCUUCCCAGAGCGUUGUUGGUGACACAGCCGAUUAUUUACGCUUUAAAAGGCGUUUACCUUAUUCUGCGCGAUUUCUUCGGACAGUGUCUGAGGUUUCGCUUUCCUUAAACGCUCCUUAUAAGGCGUAGGCGCAGCGUCACUCUCAGCUACGGGAUAGCGAGUUGCCAGCAAGCCAGCGGCUCCGUUCGGGCUUUCCCGAAUUGUUUUCUGUUUUGCCAGUUUCCGUUUUUUAUUUUCAUUAUUAUCAUUUGUCUUGUAAAAAUUAUUAUUUAUUGUAAAUAAAUAUAAUUUUUCUCUGCA